AAGGGAUCAUUGGUUCCAGUCACAGGUGUAGUAAUUGUGGGUACUUUAAGGUUUGGAGCACUUACAAGGCUGUGGUAGAAACAUACCCCAUGGAUACCACAUAUUAAACCAUGUAUAUCUGUGGAAUACUCAAUCUCAAUGUGCACACCUUUGACUACAACUGCAGAAGUGUUCCUUUAGACAAAGUUGUGACCCAUUUUACUCUGGAUAAGGGCAGAAACGGUUCACAUUCCAUUAUUUGUAAAGUUACCUGCUGUUAGCUUUCAUUAUUUUUGCUACACUCAUUUUAUUUGUAU
RNAcentral lists this long non-coding RNA (296 nucleotides) under Homo sapiens (human). RNAcentral describes it as "LHRI_LNC1632.1". The record is from RNAcentral. Lineage: Eukaryota; Metazoa; Chordata; Mammalia; Primates; Hominidae.